CGGGGUGCACCAGGCGCGAAAACUUUGCAAUGCGGGAAACCGUGACAAGGGAACUCUGAGUGCCCGUUAAAUCGGGCUGUCCAUCGGUUUAAAUAACCGGUGAAGAAAGGGCCGGACAAGACCGGUGCCAGCCGCCGCGGUAAUACCGGCGGCUCGAGUGGUGGCCACUAUUACUGGGCUUAAAGCGUUCGUAGCUGGUUUGUUAAGUCUCUGGGGAAAUCUUCCGGCUUAACCGGAAGGCGUCUCAGGGAUACUGGCAGACUAGGGACCGGGAGAGGUGAGAGGUACUCCAGGGGUAGGAGUGAAAUCCUGUAAUCCUUGGGGGACCACCUGUGGCGAAGGCGUCUCACCAGAACGGCUCCGACAGUGAGGGACGAAAGCUGGGGGAGCAAACCGGAUUAGAUACCCGGGUAGUCCCAGCUGUAAACGAUGCGCGUUAGGUGUAUCGGUGACCACGAGUCACCGAGGUGCCGAAGAGAAAUCGUGAAACGUGCCGCCUGGGAAGUACGGUCGCAAGGCUGAAACUUAAAGGAAUUGGCGGGGGAGC
Molecule: ribosomal RNA, 547 nt
Filed under: uncultured archaeon
Lineage: Archaea
Description: bacterial SSU rRNA
Rfam family: Archaeal small subunit ribosomal RNA
Source: RNAcentral